ACAUUUUAGCAAUGUGUAUCGGGUUUCAGUAGACAAAAAUACCCUUAUAUCAUGAAUUCUAAGUUUUAAGGUUAAAGGUAUUUUAAUAAUUUUCAUUCUCAAAAUUAAAAAAAUAAAAAAAGAAUUCCCCAAACCCUUACCCACCUCUCUCUUUCCUCUCAAUCCUUUAUCUUUCAUUUCUUUCACUCUAAUCUUUUCUCUCUCAUCCCUACUCUAGUCCCAAUUGAAAAAAAUAAGAAACACUUGCCUUAUUUUAAUAAUUUUUAUUUUCAAAAUUAAAAGAAAAAAACUCAAACGCUUAUUCACCUCCUUCAUUCCUCUCAACCCUUUCUCCUUCAUCU
Molecule: long non-coding RNA, 341 nt
Filed under: Vigna radiata
Lineage: Eukaryota; Viridiplantae; Streptophyta; Magnoliopsida; Fabales; Fabaceae
Description: long non-coding RNA (VRAD_LNC003311)
Source: RNAcentral